GAAAUAUUUAGGUUUCGAGAUGGCACUCAUUGACGGUGGGGGAGCACCCCCACCCCAAUUUUGGAUGAAACUUUCAAAAAAAAAUCUGAGGCAUGUGAUAUAUUGAAUUGUAUGUUUUCGGCGACGCUGAACACGAAUAUGACAUCAGAUUUUUGAUUGGACCCCAUCCACGGCCCCCAGAACCUCCUCAAAGGGGGUAAAAGUUCAAAAAAGCGUUUUGUUCGUGUGACUCAUGGAAUAGUAUGUUUUUGGUGACGCUGAACACGAAUAUGACGUCAAAUUUGUGAUUGGACCCCAUCCACGGCCCCCAGAGCCUUCCCAAGGUGGUGACCUCCCAAAAAAAUUGUUACAUUCAUGUGACACAUGAAAUAGUAUGUUUUCGAUAUCGCUGAACACGAAUAUUGCCUUCUAACGUGUUGCGCCGUUUAUGACACGAUGUAGGCAACACAGACCCACGCGUCUAAAGGUACCUUACCUCUAAUACUUUGCCUAAUUUUAUUGCUCGAGGGUAACAAGGGUGAUUAAAAUUGGCACAUUUCGUAACCAGAUAUUAGGUACGUAAACUGUUUCGCAGAUGUGUAACUUGAGGUGAAAUGAAGUUAUGUAGGAGCAAUUUAUAAGAUGUUUCUGGAAGAUAACUUGAUCAACGUUUAGGUAGGUAAUCAUUUUGACAGCAUUUCGCCCAUUAGAAAGGUAUUCGUGUUAAUUACGUAGAAUUUUGUAGGUAGUUAAAAUGGAAGGAAUCAUUUAUCUACUGUUGAAAGAUGGUUUAUGGGCAGCUGUUUAAAAAAUAGGUACCAAAUUGUCAAUAAUCAUAACUUCAUGAGUGUAAAUUAUUAAUUUUUCGACUCUGCCAGUUUCAGAAGGAGAAGGGGGGCUCUGGAUGGGAGAGAGCAUCGUUAGAGCAAGGUUACAAAAAUCACGUCACAUUAAAUCAAUUCAAGACCAUAAAUCAUCAGUAAAUAAAUAUGAAUAAAGGAUAAUCGCGAACAAUUCAUCUCAUUUGCUUUACAUACUAGCUAACCUAACACUUGCUCAUAAAUUCAACGUUGACUGAGCAGGUAAUUGCGUAGGUAUUUUUUUUAAUAAAAGAAAACUUGUCCACUCAGUCCCUAUACUCGAUUUCACUCGGUCAACGUUCAUCAAGUUAAUCGUGAGAAACUUAUAUGAAAAUGUAUGCGAAAAUUUUAUUGUGUUUUUGCGUUUUCCUAAUCGAAUGGGUGAUGUAUCCAGUUCACAGUGUAACUCUUGAAGACUACCAUAAUUUCCAAGGUAAAGAUCUUUCAUCGAUGAAUGACGCUGAUCUGGCUAAUAUUUGUAAAAAAGCAGCAGCGAAGACAAACCGUGCAGGAUCAGAUUACAAAGCAAUCAUCUUCGGGGGCAAAGACGGAUGUGAUCUUGUUUUUGGAACUGAAUCUGAGUAUGAAAAAUUAGUUCGGUGUUCAGGUAGCGAGCGGUAAUGUAUUUUUUAUCGGCAAAGGGCAAACAAAAUACGGCGUUUUUGAGUAUAAAUGCGAUACUGACGGUGAUAAUGUUGCAUAUUGUGAUUGUGAUCCUGUGGGUAAUAUAGCCGGUGCUUUGUAAUUGCUUGCAUUUAUUUUUCAUUUUAAUAUAAAUGGGGGGGGGGGAGAGGGAGGUUCAUAAUUCUUACAAGAUUGAAGUUAGAUGUCUCAAUUUAAAUCAUAAUGUUUAUUCUUCUUCAAACACACAUAUCAAAAAAUAUCACAAAGUACAUAUGUGACCCGCUCUGACAAAACCGACCGUUUCGACAAAAAAAACGUGUCCAAAAUAAUGAUGUUUAAAAUGAGUUUUAAGGGUUGAAAGAUCAGAUUUUUGAGAAAAAAACAUUUUUUGAAAUUUUGUCGAAAUGGUCGGUUUUGUCAGAGCGGGUCACAUAUGUACAUAAAAAAUGGUAAAUCAAAAACGAGCAGGAUGCAAUCAUACGUCCGUUACAUAACAUAACGAAGUAAAAACAUAAGUUCCUGAGAGAACCGAAACUCAUCUCAAUUACCUAACCCACAUCUCGACCCCACCUCCACUUUCUUCCUCUACUGAGAGUUAUCUUUAUGUACUGUAAUAGGUAGGAUCCCAAUCAUACCCAUUUUACCACAAGGGACAAUUCUAUAAUUAUUAAGAAAUUUUCAAACUAUCACAAUAAUACAUAGAAUAACAAAUCAAAUACAUAUUAGAUUACCCACAGACUAGCUGCUAUCAUGGUCACAACAAAAUGGUUUGAAAGUUUCUCACUCUAAAUCUGCUGCCCUGCAUAUUUGCAAACGAAAAUGCUUCAAAAAAAUAAAUCUACUCAAGAAACUUUCACACACUUCUUAUGGUUCUGAUCGUCAUACCUUACUCAAACUCUACCGCACACUUAUCAGACCAGUUUUAGAUUAUGGAUGCUCUGUCCAUACUUAUGCCCUUGAUAGUCACCUCCGCAGGCUAAAUACUAUUCAAAAUACAGCUGUACAAAUUUCUACUGGAGCCUUUAGAACUACCCCCACUAUAAGCCUUCUUAAUGAUGCUUCUGAAUGUCCACUUGACAUACGUAGACAGUAUAUUUCCACAUCAACCUACUUGAACAUAAAAUCAAACCCAGAUUUCAACUUGAAGUUGGAAUAUAUGAUUCCUAUGCAUUCACUAUCUGUAAAAUUCCAAUCUUUUCUACAACAAGUAGAAGAAAAUAACAUCAAAAUACACCAUUUGCUGGUAAACCCUACCCCACCUUGGCAAUCUUUUAACCCUAUCAUUGACCUAUCUUUGACAGAAUUUGAUAAAAAUCUCACCAACCCCAUCAUACUUAAAAGACAUUUUCUUCUCCUUCUUGACAAGUAUAAAGAACACAGUCACAUAUAUUAUACUGAUGGCUCAAAAACCAAACAAUUCACUGGAUGUGCUAUCAUUCAUGGCAAUACCUCUAUUCCCAUUGCUCUCCCCUCCCUUUGCACCAUUCUCACUGCUGAAUUAUAUGCACUUAAAUCUGCAAUAACAUAUUCCCUUGAUUUUUCAUUAAAUAAAGUUAGAGUUUUUACUGACUCACUAUCAGCUCUUUUAUCAAUAAAAAACUAUAGAUCAAAAUAUUCACAUCCUAUAUCACUUGGAAUUAUAGAACUCCUGCAACUCUUCCAAAACAGUACACCCAUACUAUGCUGGAUACCUUCACACUCCCAGAUUAAUGGUAAUGAGUUGACUGAUGAAAUAGCUAAGCAAGCACACCUGCACCUCCCCCUUUCCAACAUCCCAAUCCCUUCAUCAGACCUAAAGCUCCAUUCAAAAACUUUAAUGCAUGAAGUGUUUCAAUCUUCAUGGUCUCUAAUCCCAAGCUCAAAUAAACUAAAAAGAAUAAAAAACGCUACAUCUUUAUGGAAAACUUCUGAACAACUUCAGCGUAGAUCUGAGGUUCUUCUCACCAGACUCAGAACUGGUCACUCUCUUCUUACUCACCAAUUCAUAUUCCUUAAACAGCCUCCACCAUCAUGCCCACAAUGCAACAGCCCCUUAAACAUAGCUCAUCUACUAAUAGACUGUCCUUCCUACCAAAAUGAACGCUCCAGACUUCUAAAUGCCAACCAACUUCAAGUCCUCCUUUCUGAUGACCCCACUCACAUAGACAAUGUCAUCAAAUUUCUUUACUCUACUAAAUUAGAUAAAAAAAUUUAAAACUUAAAACUUAAAAACCCAGGUAGCCCAUUUCUUUAUAUUGAUUGUAACUUUAUUUGUAGAUAUGUAUAUGUUGUGUACAAAGUCCGAAAUUGUACAAUUUGGGGUUGGUACAGCCAAUUUUGUACCAUCUCCGAAGUGUUCAGACCAAGCGUGAGUAUUACUUUUUCAUCCGGCUUGGUUUGUACCAUGCCCAGAGGGUCCGGACCAAGUGUUUGACUUGGUACAAUAUUGUGUUGUGCAAAGUCCGAAAUAUAGUUUUAUAAUGAAUGAAUUCGAAUUUUACAUCCCUUUAUUCCAUAAAUAUUGAACCAAAUAAAAGGAAAUUUAAAGGCGACUUUAAAAUACACCAUCAGCAAAAUUCUAAAAUUUGGUUUUUACUCUCUAUUUUUAACUUCUCGAGUCGUUUGGUAGUGGUUUUGAACAGGGCUGUAUUUACGCACAGGCAACUUAAGCAGCUUAUUUAGAGUAAAAUUAAAAUUUAGCAUAAACCCUGAUUAGCCAAUGAUCUUUAUGACAUUUUUGAUUGAUUUUUUCAAAACCAUUUUGUAUUAGUUCAAAUCCAAAAUUUUAAUUUUUUUAAAAAAUUACUGGAGAAAUCAGCUAUUAACUCAGAAAAUUGAUAAUAUGGUUCAAACCAAAUUCCAGCCUUUCACGACAAUUGAGUAAAAUUUUGACUUUGAAAAAUCCAUAAAAAAUGUUCAAAUGAGUACAGUACGAGAAUUUCUCGACUCGAGAAGUUGAAAAUAGAGAGUAAAAACUAAAUUUCAGCAUUUUAGUUAGUACCUCAAUUUGAUCUUUUUAUUUUUUUUCUUGAGAAGUGAGCAUAGCAAUAUUUGAAUAUUUAAAAAUUCCCCAUAAAAUCAAUAAAUGAAUUUCAGCACCUGAAAAUUUUGCUGAUGGUGUAUUUUAAAGUCUCCUUUAAAUUUCCUUUUAUUUAGUUCAAUAUUUAUGGAAUAAAGGGAUGUAAAAUUUGAAUUCAUUCAUUAUAAAACUAUAUUUCGGACUUUGCACAACACAAUUGUACCAAGUCGAAUACAUUGUCCGGACCCUCCGGGCAUGGUACAAACCAAGUCCGAUGAAAAAGUAAUACUCACGCUUGGUCCGGACACUUCGGAGAUAUGGUACAAAAUUGACUGUACCAACCCCGAAUUGUACAAUUUCGGACUUGGUACACAACAUAUAUACCCUAAUCAUAAGUUUGUCUUAAUAUAGGGCCACUAGCCUAAGUUUCUGUAAAUGGCUCUUAAUAAAUAAAUAAAUAAAUAAAUAAAUAACAAGA
Long non-coding RNA from Planococcus citri (citrus mealybug), 4939 nucleotides. RefSeq lists it as uncharacterized. The record is from RefSeq and is a predicted model, not a curated record. The transcript has 2 exons. NCBI's taxonomy places the organism in Eukaryota, Metazoa, Arthropoda, Insecta, Hemiptera, Pseudococcidae.